This is a long non-coding RNA of Alligator mississippiensis (American alligator), 2624 nucleotides long. RefSeq lists it as uncharacterized. The transcript is spliced from 3 exons. The record is from RefSeq and is a predicted model, not a curated record. Lineage: Eukaryota; Metazoa; Chordata; Crocodylia; Alligatoridae.
ACAGGACAUGAGGUUCCAGCCUGGAGUUUUUCACAGAUGCAGGACUGAUCCAACAGACUUAAUAAAGCAGCAGUCACCUUCUUAUUGAAUUGAAUGGAAUGAGAACUUUCCUGAGCCUUCACCCCAAACUCUGACCUUGAAAUUCAAAGAGGAUUUCUUAAUCUUGGACUUUUUUGCAUGCAUCUUGGUGCAUCUUCUGCUGGGGAAAAGCCAGGACAUAUCCCAUGGCAUGUCUGGCCCUGCUGAAACCAGGACAGACCAGAGCUGUAGCUCUAUCCAAAUAAAGCUUCUGCUGACCUGACCCAAAAGUUUGCUGCGUGUGUUUUCCAUGACAAUUCCUGGUGCCAUUGGACUCGGAUCCACAACACGGAUUGAGGAAGGAGGACCGCAGACUGCUUCCCCCGAACCCCGUGGCACCAAAUUUAAGAGCAAACCAGUCUCCUCUGGCUAGCCUCUCAAACCUAACCUUUCUUCAAGAUCAGGCCACAAAAAGGAAAAUGAUAGCUGGCUGCCUGUAGGGUGUUCACUGCACCCUGACUCUCUCUGGCGCUCCCUGGACGGCCACCUGGUAGCACCUAAAGUACUUUUGCCAUACCUUGCUCAUCUGACUCAUUCAGAAGCCCAUACCAGCAAGAAGGCAUAAUUACUGUAGUACAAAAAAAUUAGUUUACCCCAAAUUUUCCUUCCAUGGCACAACAGUACUGCAGCUCCUGUCCCAUCUGUUUAGCUCACAACAUUGGGCAACGGGUAAAAACAACACCCGCAGCCCAUCCCCCUCCAUGGAGACCAUUUGUAAACUUGCAAAUUGAUUUCAUGCAGCUACCAAAGUGCUGCUCUUAUGAGUACAUUCUUGUUAUUAUUGAUAUGUCCUCUAGAUGGGUAGAAGCCUACUCAAGCAUACAUGCUGAUUCCAUCACUGUAGCAAAAAAUUGCUCGACAGAGGCACCCAUUUCACAGGACAGAUAGUAAAAAACAUCUGCCAAGCACUCAACAUAUAGUAACACCUACACUGCAGUUAUCAUCCACAGUCAAGUGGUGCUGUAGAACGUAAAAACUCAGAUUUGAAAAUGCUCAUUUCAAAGAUCUGCGCUGAAACAGGUCUCAAAUGGCCUGAUGCACUGCCCGUUGCUCUUAUGCACGUUAGAAACACCGUCAACAGAAAACAUGGUUUAACCCCUUAUAAAAUACUCAUAACACAACCCAUGAGAAUGCCGACUACACCACCUGUAGCCCCACACCAAGCAGACCUACAAUUAACUAAUAAACCUGUGCUAAAUUAUUGCAAAGCAUUAAUGAAGUAUGCUAAGUCUGUUCAUUCCCAGGUCCAAGAAGCUUUACCUCAACCACCGAAUGUUCCUUGUCACAACCUUAAGCCAGGAGAUUGAAUCUAUGUAAAGGUUCAUCAACAGAAAACCGCACUUCAACCCAGAUGAAAAGGACCCUUUCAAGUGCUUCUGACCACUAACACUGCUGUUCAUUGCCAAGGUCACCAGACGUAGACUCACACCUCGCACUGCAAGAAGGUAUUACCACCAUUGGACCCCGAAGCAGCUGUAUGCCAACCAAGAUUGAAACCUUUCCCUGAGGCCAAAGACAAAAACCCUCAGGACCUCACUCAAGCAAGUGAGGAGUAUCAAGGCGCAAGUAAUAGUGAUCUCAUUGAUGAACCUAACACCCUGAUCCAACUGACUCUAUCAGUUGGAGAGCCAAGGUAUCUUCUGCAUCCUCGGAAGACAUAAAUGUUUCCAUUUAGAAGAUCCCCACCUCGACCCAGACCCAGAGCCGAAGAUAUCAGCCCUCUAGGCAACCUAAGCUCAGAAAACGAGAAGAAACUUUAGUUGCCCUCUUGGGUGUGGUUAGUAGUAGGAUUUGUCCUACUAGUGUAAGUAUUAUUGGUUGUUAAAAUAUUUUGUCCUUUCUGUUUUUGAGACUGAAUCAUUGCUGUUAACAUCAAGGUGAACAAAAAGACAACGAAAACCUGAAAAAUUGCCUGCAGAGGCAAGCUAAACAAUACCUGCCAACAUGUUUUGUAUAAUAAGACUGUUCAUAUUACUCUUUAGCCUUGCCAUUGCCAGUUUAUUAUAAUGUUUAUUUGCACUUCCUACAAAGGGUAGCUGUAGCCUUAAAUGCUUCUGACUGCUGAAUUUGUGGACUCACCCCCAGAACCCAUGAUAACGAAUUUUUACAAAAGUUAAUGAAAAUAGAAGUGUGAGACUGUUAAGUCUCAAAGCGGGGAGUGUGGUAUAAAAAAAGCAAAGGCCUUAAACUUUGAUCAAAAAAAAAGGUUGUAAAGAUAAAACAAAAAGCGUUGUGUAAAAGUGUGGGCUAGGAAAAGAGGAAGAAUGUCUGGCCUUGUACUAAUCAGCCGUUACUGAGACAGCAAGAAAAGAGUGUUUUGUAAUAAAGAAAUGAAAAUAAUGUUUUUGUAACUGUUACUGCAGCUAGGUUUCUAAAAAUGUCACUAUAUGUUCACGUGAAUUGUAGGUGGCUGUUAAAAAGGUAUAUAAGCCUUUUGCUUUAACGUUUAGGGAGGGAGCCCCCUCCAAGUGCAUGGUGAAGCCAUGUCACUUUGGGGCCCCUCCUACAGCUGUAGCGCUAUCCAAAUAAAGCUUCUGCUGACCUGA